CCUACGGGGGGCAGCAGUGAGGAAUAUUGGUCAAUGGGCGAGAGCCUGAACCAGCCAAGUCGCGUGAGGGAAGACGGUCCUAUGGAUUGUAAACCUCUUUUGCCGGGGAGCAAAAAGCGGUACGUGUACCGCAUCGAGAGUACCCGGAGAAAAAGCAUCGGCUAACUCCGUGCCAGCAGCCGCGGUAAUACGGAGGAUGCGAGCGUUAUCCGGAUUUAUUGGGUUUAAAGGGUGCGUAGGCGGGACGGUAAGUCAGCGGUAAAAAUGCGGAGCUCAACUCCGUCGAGCCGUUGAAACUGCCGUUC
RNAcentral lists this ribosomal RNA (305 nucleotides) under uncultured bacterium. Its description in RNAcentral is "bacterial SSU rRNA". It matches the Rfam family "Bacterial small subunit ribosomal RNA", at positions 338 to 641 of the family's 1533-position model. The record is from RNAcentral.